UAGUAACCGAAAGGUUGCAAGACCAAAUCCCCUAGCUGACAAUAUAAAAAUAUCGUUCUGCCCCUGAACAAGGCAGUUAUCCCACUGUUCCUAGGCUGUCAUUGAAAAUAAGAGUUUGUUCUUAACUGACUUGCCUAGUUAAAUGAAGGUAAAAAAAAAGAGAUGGUGGGGCUAAAGCUUAAGAGGGUGUGAAUGAUGCCAAAUGGGUGUAGACAAAGAAGAGCUCUCCAGUUGGUACCAACACAUUCAAAGGCCAUUUUCUCAAAGUGAAGUUACAAGUUGAUCAACUUUCAAAGCAGAAUUACUUUCCCAUUGUUCCUCAAAUGCAGUGUAUGAUAUACCAUUAUGUAGCUCUGUGUCUCUGCUUUUAUCCAAUGUAAAAAAAAAAAAACAAUUUCAAAUUUUUCUACAUAAACUACAUAAGCCCUGUCCAACAAAUAGAAUACGAGCCUAUCAUAGCCUGUAACGUUUUUCAGGACAAGCCCACAUGACAACAGCGGCCUCAGAUGCCAGCAGUAACUUGUCCUCCACGUUUAGCAGAGUUUUUGCACCUCUUUGAAUGUCACCAGAGAGUGUUAGUCAUUAACUGUCUAAUAUAAAGUCAUUGCAGAAGGGGGUAGUGGGUCAUAUCUGUUGGUUGAUCAUAAUUUUGGGGAAAAGCAAUACUUUGAAUGUCAACUAGAUGACAUUUUAUUCCUGCUCAGAGAGAAAUUAAUAGCUACUCCUUGCCUGCAAUUACAUGGAAAUGACUUACAAUAUUAUCUUCCUGUUGAAACACAUUACAUUCCUCUUGAUACCUUGUUUGACAUUAAUGAUAAACUGGAAUAACUAUUCUUUCACUGCCUACUAAUGUAGUUACUGUGUGUGUGUUGGCUAGCUUUGUGUAUUGGUUGGACUCCUGGAGUUGUGCAUUGUUCUGGUGUUUGGCGACAGAAAAUAAGCAUACUACAAUGUGGCCCGGGCUUCACCAAAAAAAAAAAAAAAAAAAAAAAAAAAAAAAAAAAA
Molecule: long non-coding RNA, 1005 nt
Organism: Oncorhynchus tshawytscha (Chinook salmon)
Lineage: Eukaryota; Metazoa; Chordata; Actinopteri; Salmoniformes; Salmonidae
Source: Ensembl